Cyanistes caeruleus (blue tit) is the source of this 996-nucleotide non-coding RNA. The record is from RefSeq and is a predicted model, not a curated record. Lineage: Eukaryota; Metazoa; Chordata; Aves; Passeriformes; Paridae.
UGCACUACUGAAACUCUACAAAACAUGGUCCAGCUGUGAGAAAAAGGGUCGGAUCUGAAGUCCUGAGGAGCGUGUCUUGAAGCAGAACACUUCUGCAGAGCUCAUCUCUCACUGUUCUAAUCUCUCUGGGCACACAGAUAUUCAAGAGUAAUCUUGCAUUGUUUGUGGCAAAACAAAGUGCCUGCCCUGAGAGCUAGAGCUCAGGGAAGUGCCAUCUCCUGGGAACACUCUGCUACUAGAGCUGGAAUGCAAAGAAACUCAGGAUCAUUGGGACCAGACCAGUUACAGAUACAGGGGCAAAAAGGACACUGCAGUGUUCAGCCAGAGGUGUCAGGUCUGGAUGAAGCAGCUGAAUUUGGCAAUUUGCACUUGGGAAAUGCUGACCACCCUCAGAGCAAACAGAAACCAACAGCACAGGCUCAGGAGAUGAGGCCUCUCUUUUUCCCCUGUCCACAGGUUAACUCAGUAACACUGGAUGUAUAGAGAGGCUCAGGAAUAUGCUCGUGUUUUCUGAGUAAUUCAAGAUUCAGUUUUCACACUGCAGAUCCACCCAAGACAACCACAGCCCCUUUUCCAGGCAUUUCAAUGACAUCACAAGUAACAUUAUUUGGAAAAUGCACACCAAGUACAGUACACAGCACAUACAGCUGUUGUAUUCCUGCCCUGCUCUGCUGGUACAUUAAUGCCUUCUUUUCCUUCCACACCCACUGAGCACUUCCCUCCUGCAGGCAUCCCUGCUUCGGUACUGUUUCAAAAUCUCCUCCUUGUCUCUUGACAAUUCCUAUUCAGUUCCUGCCCUGAAACCUACAUUUGUGACAAUUUAGGAAGAAGCUUCAGUGUUGGCAUAAUUUGAGACCCACUACGAUGCUGGUGAAGCAGAUGCACUGUAGCUGUCAGAAGAGAAAGCUGCAGCAAUGUGAAGCCCUUUCCUUGCUCUUUCUCCCAAGCAAUUGAAUUCAGCUGAAGAGUUAAAUAAAAACCCAACAGGGUCCAUUA